Molecule: ribosomal RNA, 449 nt
Filed under: uncultured bacterium
Lineage: Bacteria
Description: bacterial SSU rRNA
Rfam family: Bacterial small subunit ribosomal RNA
Source: RNAcentral
UACGGAAGGCAGCAGUAGGGAAUAUUGGGCAAUGGGCGAGAGCCUGACCCAGCCAUGCCGCGUGCAGGAAGAAGGCUUUCUGAGUCGUAAACUGCUUUUGACAGGGAAGAAUAAGGACUACGUGUAGUCUGAUGACGGUACCUGCAGAAUAAGCACCGGCUAACUCCGUGCCAGCAGCCGCGGUAAUACGGAGGGUGCGAGCGUUGUCCGGAUUUAUUGGGUUUUAAAGGGUGCGUAGGCGGCCGUUUAAGUCUGGGGUGAAAGCCCGCUGCUCAACAGCGGAACUGCCCUGGAUACUGGAUGGCUUGAGUACAGACGAGGUUGGCGGAAUGGACAGAGUAGCGGUGAAAUGCAUAGAUACUGUCCAGAACCCGAUUGCGAAGGCAGCUGACUAGGCUGUUACUGACGCUGAGGCACGAAAGCGUGGGAGCGAACAGGAAUUAGAUACC